This 360-nucleotide small nuclear RNA is filed under the name Jaculus jaculus (lesser Egyptian jerboa). Its description in RNAcentral is "7SK RNA (ENSJJAG00000008034.1)". The stretch from base 1 to 318 matches the Rfam family "7SK RNA". Rfam says of the family: 7SK was discovered as an abundant small nuclear RNA in the mid-70s but a possible function has only recently been suggested. Two independent studies have found that 7SK RNA binds the CDK9/cyclin T complex (known as elongation factor P-TEFb). Lineage: Eukaryota; Metazoa; Chordata; Mammalia; Rodentia; Dipodidae. The record is from RNAcentral.
GGCAUGAGGGCGAUCUGGCUGUGACAUCCAUCGCCCCAUUGAUCGCCAGGGUUGAUUCAGCUGAUCUGGCUGGCUGGGUGGGUGUUCCCUCCCUCCCUCACAGAGCCAUGUGCGUCCCUCCAGAAGCUGCACUGGGUGGAAGAGGAUGACCUUCCCCGAAUGGAGAAGGACUGGUGUUCAGUCAAGGGUAUACAAGUAGCUGCGCUCCCCUGCUAGAACCCCCAAAUAAGCUCUCAAAUAAAAUUAAUUAAUUAAUUUAAAAAAUAAAAAAAAAUACAUUUGGGGGCUGGAGAGAUGGUUUAGCAGUUAAGCAUUUGACUGUGAAGCCUAAGGACCCCAGUUCGAGGCUUGAUUCCCCAG